This 403-nucleotide ribosomal RNA is filed under the name uncultured bacterium. RNAcentral describes it as "partial 16S ribosomal RNA". It matches the Rfam family "Bacterial small subunit ribosomal RNA", at positions 28 to 526 of the family's 1533-position model. The record is from RNAcentral.
GACGAACGCUGGCGGCAGGCCUAACACAUGCAAGUCGAACGAGCGGCGGACGGGGGAGUAAUGUAUGGGGACUGCACGAUAGAGGGGGAUAACUACGGGAAACGGUGGAUAAACCAGCAUACUGUCUGAUCACCCAAAUGGGAUUAGCGAGUAGGUAAGGUAAUGGCUUACCUAGGGGACGAUCCCUAGCUGGUCUGAGAGGAUGAUCAGCCACACUGGGACUGAGACACGGCCCAGACUCCUACGGAGGCAGCAGUGGGGAAUAUUGCACAAUGGGCGCAAGCCUGAUGCAGCCAUGCCGCGUGUAUGAAGAAGGCCCUAGGGUUGUAAAGUACUUUCAGCCGGGAGGCGUUACCGACAGAAGAAGCACCGGCUAACUCCGUGCCAGCAGCCGCGGUAAUUC